RNAcentral lists this ribosomal RNA (301 nucleotides) under uncultured bacterium. RNAcentral's name for it is "bacterial SSU rRNA". It matches the Rfam family "Bacterial small subunit ribosomal RNA", at positions 30 to 333 of the family's 1533-position model. The record is from RNAcentral.
AUUGAACGCUGGCGGAAUGCCUAACACAUGCAAGUCGAACGAGUUGUGUAGCAAUACAUGACUAGUGGCGGACGGGUGAGGAACACAUAGGAAUCUACCCUUGUAGUGGGGAAUAACCCGGGGAAACCCGGACUAAUGCCGCAUACGCACUAAGGUGGAAAGCGGGGAGUCGUAAGUCCUCGCGCUAUAGGAUGAGCCUAUGUCGGAUUAGCUAGUUGGUAGGGUAACGGCCGUACCAAGGCGACGAUCCGUAGCUGGUCUGAGAGGACGAUCAGCCACACUGGAACUGAGGCACGGUCCA